Camelina sativa (false flax) is the source of this 190-nucleotide non-coding RNA. The record is from RefSeq and is a predicted model, not a curated record. Lineage: Eukaryota; Viridiplantae; Streptophyta; Magnoliopsida; Brassicales; Brassicaceae.
GAACAUUCCUCAUAUUCAUCUGCACGAAAAGAAGGGAAACAAAGAGAAGUGGCAUGGUGCCGAAAUACAGGUGGUAAUAGAAGGAAACUGGACAACAUACAGAUCAAAGAUCUUGCACUAUAUGCGCCAAAUGGCUGUUAUUACUCCUUAUGCACAGUUUCUGUUUAGAUUUAUAUCAGAGACACCAGAG